This 1439-nucleotide ribosomal RNA is filed under the name uncultured organism. Its description in RNAcentral is "SSU rRNA". It matches the Rfam family "Bacterial small subunit ribosomal RNA". The record is from RNAcentral.
CUUUCUACAGGCUUAACACAUGCAAGUCGAGGGGCAGCAUGGUCUUAGCUUGCUAAGGCCGAUGGCGACCGGCGCACGGGUGAGUAACACGUAUCCAACCUGCCGUCUACUCUUGGACAGCCUUCUGAAAGGAAGAUUAAUACAAGAUGGCAUCAUGAGUCCACAUGUUCACAUGAUUAAAGGUAUUCCGGUAGACGAUGGGGAUGCGUUCCAUUAGAUAGUAGGCGGGGUAACGGCCCACCUAGUCUUCGAUGGAUAGGGGUUCUGAGAGGAAGGUCCCCCACAUUGGAACUGAGACACGGUCCAAACUCCUACGGGAGGCAGCAGUGAGGAAUAUUGGUCAAUGGGCGAGAGCCUGAACCAGCCAAGUAGCGUGAAGGAUGACUGCCCUAUGGGUUGUAAACUUCUUUUAUAAAGGAAUAAAGUCGGGUAUGCAUACCCGUUUGCAUGUACUUUAUGAAUAAGGAUCGGCUAACUCCGUGCCAGCAGCCGCGGUAAUACGGAGGAUCCGAGCGUUAUCCGGAUUUAUUGGGUUUAAAGGGAGCGUAGAUGGAUGUUUAAGUCAGUUGUGAAAGUUUGCGGCUCAACCGUAAAAUUGCAGUUGAUACUGGAUAUCUUGAGUGCAGUUGAGGCAGGCGGAAUUCGUGGUGUAGCGGUGAAAUGCUUAGAUAUCACGAAGAACUCCGAUUGCGAAGGCAGCCUGCUAAGCUGCAACUGACAUUGAGGCUCGAAAGUGUGGGUAUCAAACAGGAUUAGAUACCCUGGUAGUCCACACGGUAAACGAUGAAUACUCGCUGUUUGCGAUAUACAGCAAGCGGCCAAGCGAAAGCGUUAAGUAUUCCACCUGGGGAGUACGCCGGCAACGGUGAAACUCAAAGGAAUUGACGGGGGCCCGCACAAGCGGAGGAACAUGUGGUUUAAUUCGAUGAUACGCGAGGAACCUUACCCGGGCUUAAAUUGCAGAUGAAUUACGGUGAAAGCCGUAAGCCGCAAGGCAUCUGUGAAGGUGCUGCAUGGUUGUCGUCAGCUCGUGCCGUGAGGUGUCGGCUUAAGUGCCAUAACGAGCGCAACCCUUGUUGUCAGUUACUAACAGGUCAUGCUGAGGACUCUGACAAGACUGCCAUCGUAAGAUGUGAGGAAGGUGGGGAUGACGUCAAAUCAGCACGGCCCUUACGUCCGGGGCUACACACGUGUUACAAUGGGGGGUACAGAGGGCCGCUACCACGCGAGUGGAUGCCAAUCCCAAAAACCUCUCUCAGUUCGGACUGGAGUCUGCAACCCGACUCCACGAAGCUGGAUUCGCUAGUAAUCGCGCGUCAGCCACGGCGCGGUGAAUACGUUCCCGGGCCUUGUACACACCGCCCGUCAAGCCAUGGGAGCCGGGGGUACCUGAAGUGCGUAACCGCGAGGAGCGCCCUAGGGUAAAACUGGUGACUGGG